GAAUAGCAUGCGUGAGCGAUUGCAGCGGCAUCCUUUUUCUUUGCAUGGCUGAAGAAUGAAGGCUUGCCAAGAAAUAGAUACAGCGAAAAGCGCGACCUGCU
RNAcentral lists this small RNA (101 nucleotides) under Epilithonimonas bovis DSM 19482. RNAcentral's name for it is "Chryseobacterium bovis DSM 19482 Flavo-1 RNA". It matches the Rfam family "Flavo-1 RNA". The record is from RNAcentral. Lineage: Bacteria; Pseudomonadati; Bacteroidota; Flavobacteriia; Flavobacteriales; Weeksellaceae.